AAACCCCAGCACCUGCAGUGUUCUGCUUCCUGACACGCCAUCCUCUGCAUGCAUGCGCCACACCCAUGGCACCAAGCUCUGCUCCACACCGCACCACCGGCCUCCCGCAGAGAGGGGGCGCUCUCUUGCCCGGGCCUACCCUCGCCUCCCACUCUCUCCCCCAUGCAUCACGGGUGACAGCAUCAUCUCGCCUACCUCAGGCCUACCAGUGUGUGAUAAUGAGAUCUUUGAAGAGAAAGCAUGUCACUGCGGUUACAUGUGUGUGUGUUUGUGUGUACACAUGUAUGCGCAUGUGUGUGUGUGUACACACGUGCUUGUGUAAACGGACCGGCAGUUCCAAUGAGACUUCUUAAGACAAGCCUUCCAGUCAGCCAGCACUCACCAGCCCUGCUCUGCCAUGCUUAGAAACAAACCCACAAAAAGAGCCGGAAGUCAUCAGCCUCCAAUCAGCACCCUCUCCAAGAAAAUGCAAGAAAAUCUGUUCAAUGCCACAGCCUUGUAUUUUCAGUCGUACUGUAGAUAUUUAGAGUUUGAGUGAAAUCUGUGUCUCUUGCUCUGACUGCCCUGUGACAGUCUACAGCCAGUCUCUAACUUUCCAAAAAACACUUCCAUAGUAGCUUAAACCCCCCAGCUGGCCUAGGCUUCUCAGUCAAAUUCCCUCUGGCCUUGAGCAAUUGCCACGUGUGGAGUUACGGCUGCUGUAAGCAAGACUGACAGGGAAGAAAAGAAGACAGGAAAAAGAGAGGUCCCCUGUGUUGGUAUAGCUCUUUGUGUUCUGUUCUCCUGGUGAACAUCCUGAUAACAGCACCCCCUGCUGACUAUAUGUGUCAUUACAGCAGCUUAAACUUGCAGGGUUCCAGUAUUUAAUUGAUUAACUUUAAACUCAAUAAUCUUCUGGUGAAACACAGUUUGUGGAACCAACUGCUGGGGGCAGUGUUAGUAAGCUGUGCUGCAAAAAAUGCAUCCUUGUUCAUCUUUUUGAGUGCCAGUGUAAUUUUUUUUAUUAUUUCACCUUGAAUUGAUACUGGGCAUUUGGAGGGCAUGACAAGGAAAAACAGAACGCUGGCAAAUAAUUAUUUGAGAUUUUUUAUUCACCAUUAACAUUCCUACAGAUUACUGGGAGUUUUUAAAAAGAAAUGCAUUUUUUUUUAAUAUAUAUAUUUUUGGGGCUUUUUUAGCUUUAUUAGACAGGAUAGUGUAGAGAGACAGGAUGAACUGAGAGAGAGGGAGAGACAUGCGACAAAGGUCGGCGGUCGGACUCGAACUGCUGACGUCGCGGCUCGCAAUGAGCCUGUGGAAAGCACUCUAUAGGCUACGCCACUGGAGGCCCCAAGAAAUGCAUAUUUUCAUAAAUCUUCAGAACAAAAAUAAUUGUUACAUGUGAUUGUAUGCAUUGGUAAGUAAAAAUUUUUCUGGGGAAUCAUAGUGAUCUGCAGGAAUGUUUCUCAGAUUUUACUGGAAUCCUAAGUGUUUCAGGUACAUAUUUGAGCACAGGUUGGUAACUGACUGUUAUCAGGAUGAUCCAAGCGCCAGGCAGGCUCCCUUUCAUAUCGAUGUGGGUAAGGGUUAGGUUAAAUGUGUCAGAUCCUCCUCUCAUUACGCUUUGUGGAGCCUCUCCACCUCCCUAUCUUUUGCUCUCUUUUGUCACACACACAAACAUACACAUUCUCAAGCACACACACGUGCGUACACACAGACACACACAUACUCAAGCACGCACACAUGCGCACGCACACACACACACACACAUUCAAGCAUGCACAUGCACGCGCGCGCACACACACACACACACAUACUCAAGCACGCACACAUGUGCACGCGCACACACACGCACGCACACAUACACGCACACAUGCGCAUGCACACACACACACACACACACAUUCAAACAUGCACGCGCGCACACACACACACACACGUACUCAAGCACACACACAUGCGCAUGCACAUGCACGCACACAUACUCAAGCAUGCACACACACACGCACACAUGCGCAUGCACACACACACACACAUCAAGCAUACACAUGCACGCGCACACACAUGCACCCACACAUACUCAAGCAUGUACACGCACGCGCACACACACAUACUCAAGCACGCACACGCACACACACGCACACACACAUACUCAAGCACGCACGCACGCGCACACACACAUACUUAAGCAUGUACAUGUACACACACAGGCAAACGCACAUACCCAUGUACACGCACACACACGCAUGUACACGCACACCCUCGCACACACACGCAUGUACACGCACACCCUCGCACACACAUUCUCAAGCACACGCACGCACACACGCGCAUGCACACACACAGACGCAUGCGCUGCACACACAAGCAUGCAUGCACACACACACACAUUUACACACUCACGCAAACACGCACACUCACACACACAACCAUGCACACACAAUCAUGCUUGCACCCACAAAUAUACACUCACACACACAAACACGCGCGUGUGCACACAAAAACACACACACACACACACACACACACACACACACACAGAUGCACACAGGCAUAUUCACACAAAUACACACACUACAUGGUCAAAAGUAUGUGGACAGCUGACUUUUCAACAUCUCAUCCAAAAUUAUGGCCAUUAAUAUGGUGUUAGUCCACCCUUUGCUGCCAUACCAACCUCCACUCUUCUGGGAAGGCUUUAUACUAGGUUUUGGAGCAUUGCUGCAGGGAUUUGCUUCCAUUCAGCCUGAAGAGCAUUAGUGAGGUCGAGCACUGGUUGGGCUUUGCGAUUAGGCCUGGCUUUCCAAUUGAUCCCAAAGGUAUUGGAUGGGGUUGAGGUCAGUGCUCUGUGUUGGCCAGUCAAGUUCUUCCACACCAUUUUUGACAAAAUUAUUUCUAUAUGGACCUCCCUGUGUGUCCGGCGGCAUUGUCAUGCUAAAACAGGAAAGGACCUUCCCCAAACUGUUGGGGAAGCACAAAAUUGUCUAGAAUGUGAUUGUAUGCUGUAGCAUUAAAAUUAGCUUUCAAUGGAACUAAGGGACCUAGCCAAAACCAUGAAAAACAGCCCCAGACCACAUACUUUUGGACACACGCGCGCACACACACACACACACACAUAUGCAUGCAUGUACGCACGCACGUCGUGCACACGAACAUGCUCAUACAUGCACACACACACACACGUAUGCAUGCAUGUACGCACGCACGUCGUGCACACGAACAUGCUCACGCAUGCAUGCACACGCACGCACACACACACACACACACACACAUAUACCACAUCACACCAUCCUGCUUUUCAUCCUACUGCUGCCAUCCUGUUUUCUGGUGUGGGCGUGACUCUGCCCUUGGAGAUGAAUGGCAGCUGCAUCCUUCUGCAGAGUGUGACUGCAGUCAAGCAAGUGCAUGCCAACAUGAUUCUGAUUCUCCUGGGUACAUGAUUAAGAGUGUAUGAGAGAUUCAGCGCUGUUAAAUCACUGUUAUCAUUUUUAGGAGGAUAGUGGCUGUAGUGCGGUACAGUAUUUCUGAAAUUGUCAACAGCCCGUCAGAGAGCUAGGAUUUAGGGUCCAAGGACCAUCCAGCAAAGGUGUGUGUGUGUGUGUGUGUGUGUGUGCGCACGCACUGGGCUGUGUUUGUGUGUGGGAAGGUGGGGUGUGUGUGUGUGUAUUUUAGUGUAAAACAUUUGUGUUGUAUACAUGGAUGUGUAUGUGUGAAUGUGUGCUUUGGUGUGUAUGUUUUCAAUAUGUGUUCACAUUUGUCUGUUUCGGUGUUCUGGAUUUUUUGAAUAUGUGAGUUAUGCAAGUACGGUAAAGACUGGAUGUUCUUAAUUUCCCCAGCAGGACAUGUAUAAUGACCUUGGUACACUGGGAUAUCGUGCCUCUGUAUUUAAUUUAGCAUAGCAUAACAUAGCAUAACAUAACAUAGCAUAGCAUAGCAUAUCAUAGCAUAGCAUAACAUCAUAACAUUACGACAGGAACAGGCCAUUCAGCCCAACAGUGCUGACCGUUUUCCUGACUAAAUUGUACCUUGUGCUCUGAUUACCUAUAGUAAUCAGUACCUAGUAAUCAGACUAGAUAGUAUCUAACACCAUAUCAAGCCUGGCCUUGAAAACCCAGUUUCUGCCUCUACUAUGUGAACUGGCAGGCUGUUCCACACAUUGACCACUCUCUGCGUGAAAACAUUCUUCCUAAUGUCUGUAUGGAAUUUACCUUUUGAAAUUUCCAUUUAUGUCCCGUUGUUCUACUAACAGAACUCAGAAGAAACUCUUGUAGCUCUCUUUGUCGAUCUCCUUUGUGAAAUUAAAAGUCUUAAUCAAGUCUCCCCUAAGUCUCCUUUUACUAAGCUUGAAAAGAUUAAGCAUAAGACUUUCCUCAUAGCUUUUAUUUUUCAUACCAGGAAUAAAUUUGUUUGCUGUUCUUUGAACAUUUUCCUCUAGAUCUUUCUUGUAGUACGGUCCUCGGGAUAGCACACAAUACUCCAAGGAUGGUUUAACAAAUGUCGAUAAGAUAAGAAUAACUUCCUUGGAUAUCUACUCAACACUUUUGGCUAUGCAUCCAAGCAUCCAGUAGCUUGUCAUGCCUCCUAGUAUGACUUAGCAUAGGUUAGGUCAGAGUAAUGUUUACUGUGUGAACUGGACUUAAUAUGUUCAUGGCUAUGAAUAACUGUUACAAAAUUAGUAUUGUACCUUAAUGGACCUGUGUUUUGUAGUUGUUCCAAUGACCUCCGGUAUACACUUAUUGUGCGUCACUUUUGAUUAAAGCGUCUGCUAAAUAAAUGUCAUUUAAUGUAAUCCUGUUGUAUGUAAUACUGCUCAGUGCCUAGUAUCUGAAAGGCUUUGAUCAUCCAUUACCCCCAAAUUUUUUUCAAAUUGAGCACAUUCCAGUUUUGUUCCUCUCAUAAAGCUGUCCUGUUUUAUGUUUUUAUUUCCCACAUGCAGAACUUUAUAUUUGGCUAUAUUGAAUUUCAUUUGCCAGGUUUCCGUCAAUUUCUGGAUUUUUAAAAAAUCUUCUCGGAUUGCUUUAUUAGAUUCUAAACUAUUAGCUGGGACCCCCAGUUUUGUAUCAUCUACAAAAUUUGGCUAAUGAACUUUCUAUGUCCCUGUCAAUGUCAUUUAUAUAAAUGAGGAAGAACAUUAGUCCCAGCACUGAUCCUUGUGGGACUCCGCUUCCCACAGUUCCCUGCUCAGAUAAUAUCCCUCCUACUACUUACUACUCUUCGUGUUCUACCCUGUAUCCAGUUCUGAAUCCAGUCUGAAUACGUCCUCUAAUUCCUAUUGUCUUCAUUUUGCAAACAAGUCUCUCGUGCAGUGCCUUAUAAAAUGCCUUUUGUAAAAAUCAGAGUAGAUAAUAUCAUAUGCCUUGCUAUAAUCAAAACACUUUGUAGCUUCUUCAAAGAAUAUCAAGAGGUUUGUCAGGCAUGACCUUCCCUUGAAAAAACCAUGCUGGCUCAUUUGUUAUUUUCAAGAAACACUGUAAUUUCCUGGAUUUGUAUGGUCCCCCUUCGUAUUAUAUUGGUAUUAUAUUACCUUGUUUCCAGUCCUCAGGUAUUUCUCCAGUUUUUAAAGACGGUCUAAAAACACCUGCCAGUGGUUUAAAGAUGAUCACACCUAACUAUUUGAGUAUUCUUGAGAAUAUGCCAUCAGGGCCUGCUGUCUUAUUUGUCUUUAGUUUAUGUAAUUUAUCCAGUACUUCUUCAUCCUCUAUCUCAACAUCUGCUAAGACAUUCUGAGUACUGCAUAUGCCUUCUAGUCUAUUAGUAACCCCUUUUCUAGUAAUACUCUCAACAAAAUAACUAUUUAAGGCAUCAGCGAUAUCUUUAUUCUUAUAAAGCUCCUCGUUGUCCUGUUGCAUCUGAUAUCCUCCUUCACUUUUA
This is a long non-coding RNA of Anguilla rostrata (American eel), 5847 nucleotides long. RefSeq lists it as uncharacterized. Lineage: Eukaryota; Metazoa; Chordata; Actinopteri; Anguilliformes; Anguillidae. The transcript is spliced from 2 exons. The record is from RefSeq and is a predicted model, not a curated record.